GCGGGUGUGGCGAAAAAUCGGCAGACGCACCAGACUAGGAAUCUGGCGCCUUUGGCGUGGGGGUUUUCGACUCCCUGCACCCGCA
RNAcentral lists this transfer RNA (85 nucleotides) under Bacillus sp. UFRGS-B20. RNAcentral's name for it is "tRNA-Pro". It matches the Rfam family "tRNA". Rfam says of the family: Transfer RNA (tRNA) molecules are approximately 80 nucleotides in length. Their secondary structure includes four short double-helical elements and three loops (D, anti-codon, and T loops). The record is from RNAcentral. Lineage: Bacteria; Bacillati; Bacillota; Bacilli; Caryophanales; Bacillaceae.